This 342-nucleotide unclassified non-coding RNA is filed under the name fungal sp. RNAcentral's name for it is "partial internal transcribed spacer region". The stretch from base 1 to 46 matches the Rfam family "Eukaryotic small subunit ribosomal RNA", at positions 1786 to 1831 of the family's 1831-position model. Lineage: Eukaryota; Fungi. The record is from RNAcentral.
AAGUCGUAACAAGGUUUCCGUAGGUGAACCUGCGGAAGGAUCAUUAACACGUUGCACAAACGUUUUAAUAUCAAAACUUUAACCCCGCGCACAAUGUUUCAAAAAACAAUACGGGCUCGUUCGAACCAGGAAACUUUGAAGUGGCUGCUUUGUGAUGGGUGGCCGGUCAGAGUUGACAAAGACUUGGUUCUUGAACCUACAGUUAGUCCGCCAUCAUAUUUUGUUUUUUUUUAAACCCCUUGAAUCUUAUCAGUCUGAAACUUUUUCUUUUUUGUUCGCAAGAACAAAAAAAAAAAAAAACGAAACAAAGAACAACUCUUAGCAACGGAUAUCUUGGUUCUC